Molecule: ribosomal RNA, 198 nt
Filed under: uncultured bacterium
Lineage: Bacteria
Description: partial 16S ribosomal RNA
Rfam family: Bacterial small subunit ribosomal RNA
Source: RNAcentral
ACGCUCGACACCUACGGGAGACAGCAGUGGGGAAUAUUGCACAAUGGGGGAAACCCUGAUGCAGCGACGCCGCGUGAAGGAAGAAGUAUCUCGGUAUGUAAACUUCUAUCAGCAGGGAAGAAAAUGACGGUAUCUGACUAAGAAGCCCCGGCUAACUACGUGCCAGCAGCCGUGGUAAUCUGAGCGGGCUGGCAAGGC